AGAGUUUGAUCCUGGCUCAGAUUGAACGCUGGCGGAAUGCUUUACACAUGCAAGUCGAGCGGCAGCGCGGGGGCAACCCUGGCGGCGAGCGGCGAACGGGUGAGUAAUGUAUCGGAACGUACCCAGUCGUGGGGGAUAACUAUCCGAAAGGAUAGCUAAUACCGCAUACGUCCUGAGGGAGAAAGCGGGGGAUCGCAAGACCUCGCGCGAUUGGAGCGGCCGAUAUCGGAUUAGCUAGUUGGUGAGGUAAAAGCUCACCAAGGCGACGAUCCGUAGCUGGUCUGAGAGGACGACCAGCCACACUGGAACUGAGACACGGUCCAGACUCCUACGGGAGGCAGCAGUGGGGAAUUUUGGACAAUGGGGGCAACCCUGAUCCAGCCAUUCCGCGUGAGUGAAGAAGGCCUUCGGGUUGUAAAGCUCUUUCGGCAGGAACGAAACGGUGGCCCCUAAUACGGG
This 459-nucleotide ribosomal RNA is filed under the name uncultured bacterium. RNAcentral describes it as "bacterial SSU rRNA". It matches the Rfam family "Bacterial small subunit ribosomal RNA", at positions 8 to 470 of the family's 1533-position model. The record is from RNAcentral.